This 965-nucleotide long non-coding RNA is filed under the name Equus caballus (horse). RNAcentral describes it as "lncRNA (ENSECAG00000059026.1)". The record is from RNAcentral. Lineage: Eukaryota; Metazoa; Chordata; Mammalia; Perissodactyla; Equidae.
AGGGCGCUGCUUUUAAUCUUCUGGAAAUCAAUCCUGACUCAAGUUUUCGAUUCAUUGACUUGAACACUCGGGUGGUCGCUUCCCCCAGAGUCAGUGUGCGCGUUUGAAGGGCGGAGAACCGCUCGAUUCUCACAGUGCACCAGGGAGGUUUCUGUUAUAGUAUUUCCUUGCUGGUCUCCUCCUCAUGCUAUAUCUUUUACCCAGCUGAGUAGCUCUAACGAGCACCCGGAGGAUAACUGGCAAAACAGCAGAGGAGUUCAGAGCCCGACGAAGGAAAAGUUACAGAAAUCCGGAGCCCGCCUCCCAGCGCCGCAGGAAGCGUGCUGCAGAGGAGCACGCAUCUGCUUCCGUGCGUGCAGUUCCAGGCCGCCGGUUCUGCUGUCAGAGUGGUCCGUCAGAGCCCAUCUGAGAGCGUUUCAGCAAGGCUCUGGAGAGCAAAACUCCCAACUGCGUUCAUAGCUCUGACCCCAGCCCCACCAGCAACAGCGUAUGUUGUAUUGAGAGAAAGGAUGUGUUGUCACUUCUGUGCUCCUGACCUCCCUACUUGCCUGCCAUGAGCAUUGCCUCUGAGCGAGCUCUCACCGUGAGGAGAGGUCGUGUGGGAGAGGUCCAGUCUGCUCUCCAGGGCAGCCAGCUUCACCUGUCCUCGUUCUGGGUGCCUGAUCGCAUGGAACCUGCAUGUCCUCUCACGGGCGAAGAGGAGUAUAGAGAAUCAAGAACCAACUUGUAAACUCUGCCCCUCAGCAUCUGCACCUUCCUCUGCUAUCACAUGUGCUUGAAUAUGCAUGAAUUGUGUCUCCCCAAAUUCAUAUGUUGAAGCCCUCGCCCCCAAGGUGACUGUCUUUGUAGAUGGGCCUCUCAGGAAAUGAUUACGUUUAAAUGAGAUCAUAAGGGGCAGGGCCCUAAUUCAAUAAGGCAGAUGUCCUUAUAAGAAGAGGAAGAGAUACCAGAACCGCAAACCGGUC